This 967-nucleotide long non-coding RNA is filed under the name Sphaeramia orbicularis (orbiculate cardinalfish). RNAcentral's name for it is "lncRNA (ENSSORG00005020568.1)". The record is from RNAcentral. Lineage: Eukaryota; Metazoa; Chordata; Actinopteri; Kurtiformes; Apogonidae.
UUCAACAAACUAAAAGAUGUUAAAAAACAAUUCAGGGAUGACUGCUUCACAGUAUUCACUGUGAGCGCCAAAGAAUUUCUACAGAAAAGACUUCUCAAACCAGAGGAAACUGAAAUACCCGAACUUCAGAUGUUUCUGCGAAGUCUCAAUGACCAGCACUCAGAAACACUGAACUAUGUGUUUGGAGCCUAUGGGAUUCUCUCUCUGAUGAAGACGGCACACUGUGGAGAUGCUGCCAGAAAAAUGUCAGUGUGUGCAGAGCUUAUGGAAAAUAUAACAUGUGAGAAAGAAAAAGUCAGAAAACCCAUGGAGGACGCUUAUGAAGGUUUUAAAAAACACCUCCAUACAAGUGUUGAAAAAUCAAAAGAGUCUUGUGAAAAGGCGCUGGAAAAGAUGUUAUAUCGUUCUGGAAAAGCAAAGCGUGGUUUUCACAACAAAUUGAAACAUGCUAUGAAGAACAAUGGCAUCUUCAAACCAGUGAAAAAGACGAAAAAAGGAAUCAACAUGAACAUGACAUUGUCUUCACUUCUGUCUGAAAGCAUUGAUGAGGAGUUCAAAAACGCCUUCCCGAAUGAUGGGAAUUCGGGUCCAUUCUACGGAGCUAUCAGUGACUUUACACUUUACACAGAGAAACUGAGUCAAAACUACAAGGAUGUUGAACUGCAGCUGAUAUUUCUCAAGACAGAGGAAGAAAAAAUGAAGGCAAAACUCUGCAGAAUCACCCGGCAUCGCAAGAAAACAAUCUACAAUAGUCUGACUGAGACAAUUGAGGAAACAAUGCGAGAAUGCUAUACAAGAGCAGCAGAGGUCAGAGGCAAAGAAAGUCUUAAUAAAAUGAGGGAAAUUAUUCAGAACCAUGUACGUGCAUCAAAGGCCACUAUGUUUGACUUGGCCAAGGAUGAUAUGUUGACCCAACUGAGAGAACUGAUGGUUUGUUUAUUUCACAAAAUGUGCAGUUAUUGUGAUG